RNAcentral lists this ribosomal RNA (428 nucleotides) under uncultured Deferribacteraceae bacterium. RNAcentral describes it as "bacterial SSU rRNA". It matches the Rfam family "Bacterial small subunit ribosomal RNA", at positions 355 to 774 of the family's 1533-position model. The record is from RNAcentral. Lineage: Bacteria; Pseudomonadati; Deferribacterota; Deferribacteres; Deferribacterales; Deferribacteraceae.
UGGGGAAUUUUGCGCAAUGACCGAAAGGUUGACGCAGCAACGCCGCGUGUAUGAUGAAGGCUUUCGGGUCGUAAAGUACUUUCAGUGGGGAAGAACUGCAUAAUCAGUAACUGGGUUAUGAUUGACGGUACCCACAGAAGCAGCCCCGGCUAACUCCGUGCCAGCAGCCGCGGUAAUACGGAGGGGGCAAGCGUUAUUCGGAAUUACUGGGUUUAAAGGGUGCGUAGGCGGUUAAAUAAGUUGUCAGUGAAAGGCUACGGCUCAACUGUAGUAGUGCUGGCGAUACUGUAUAACUAAGAACAUGGGAGGGGUACCUGGAAUGUGUGGUGUAGCGGUGAAAUGCGUAGAUAUCACACAGAACACCGGAGGCGAAGGCGGGGUACUAGACCAUAGUUGACGCUGAGGCACGAAAGCGUGGGGAUCAAACA